UACGGAGGGUGCAAGCGUUAUCCGGAUUUACUGGGUUUAAAGGGUGCGUAGGUGGGUUUGUAAGUCAGUGGUGAAAUCUCCAAGCUUAACUUGGAAACUGCCGUUGAUACUAUAAAUCUUGAAUGUUGUGGAGGUGAGCGGAAUAUGUCAUGUAGCGGUGAAAUGCUUAGAUAUGACAUAGAACACCAAUUGCGAAGGCAGCUCACUACACAAAGAUUGACACUGAGGCACGAAAGCGUGGGGAUCAAACAGG
Molecule: ribosomal RNA, 253 nt
Filed under: uncultured bacterium
Lineage: Bacteria
Description: partial 16S ribosomal RNA
Rfam family: Bacterial small subunit ribosomal RNA
Source: RNAcentral